RNAcentral lists this ribosomal RNA (506 nucleotides) under uncultured bacterium. Its description in RNAcentral is "partial 16S ribosomal RNA". It matches the Rfam family "Bacterial small subunit ribosomal RNA", at positions 28 to 523 of the family's 1533-position model. The record is from RNAcentral.
GAUGAACGCUAGCGGCAGGCCUAACACAUGCAAGUCGAGGGGCAGCACAGGAAAGUAGUAAUACUUUUGGGUGGCGACCGGCGGACGGGUGCGUAACGCGUAUACAACCUGCCUUCUACUGGGGGAUAAUUCGGAGAAAUCUGGUCUAAUACCCCAUAACAACCGAUGAGGCAUCUCAUUGGUUUAAAAGCUCCGGCGGUAGAAGAUGGGUAUGCGUGACAUUAGAUAGUUGGUGGGGUAACGGCUCACCAAGUCGACGAUGUCUAGGGGGACUGAGAGGUUAACCCCCCACAAUGGUACUGAGACACGGACCAGACUCCUACGGGAGGCAGGAGUGAGGAAUAUUGGUCAAUGGACGCAAGUCUGAACCAGCCAUGCCGCGUGCAGGAAGACGGCUCUAUGAGUUGUAAACUGCUUUUGUACGAGGGUAAACCCAGGGACGUGUCCUUGGUUGAAAGUACCAUACGAAUAAGGAUCGGCUAACUCCGUGCCAGCCGCCGCCGUAA